UUGCCUGAAAGCACUAAGGAUUGUGUGGGCAAAUGACUGUUUGUGAUUACAAGUAAGCUGCUCACCCUUGCAACCCUUGCAGUGCCCCUCUCUCUCUCUGUCUCAGGCCCUUGCCAUUUCCCUCGGCAGCCAGGACUUUGCCCCAGGGAUGCUUCAGCAGAUCCAGGAGAAGGAGGACUUGUUGGCCGAGGCCUUAGCCGAGCAAGAUCAGAUCAUAACCCGGUGGCAAAGGCGCCUGCAGGAGAUGAAGGACGGCGCCUCAGCCAGGGAGCAAGAACUGAGGGAGCAGCUGCAGCAGCGUUCUCAAGAUGCCCGAGCACAGGCCCAAGAAAUGGAGCAGCUACGGAGGCGCCUGGCGCAGGCAGAGGCCGAAGUAGCCCAGGGGGCCGUGACGUUGGAGGAACAUCGGAGACAACUAGACGUGUUGAAGGAGGUGGGAGACAUGAAAGACCGUACCCUGGAGACAUUUCUGCGAGAGGGGGAAGAGAAGGACCGGAUUUUGCAGAAGCUGCAGGAGCUCUGGUUGAAGAGAACAAGGCAGGGAGCAGGGGGCAAAGGUAAGAGGUGGGAGGGGUGCAGUUUGUCAAAAAGGGAGAAAGGAGUUUGGUGUGUGUGUGUUUGCGUUUGCCACACUGAGAGCCAGCCUGAGACACAUGGCUGA
RNAcentral lists this long non-coding RNA (661 nucleotides) under Pogona vitticeps (central bearded dragon). Its description in RNAcentral is "lncRNA (ENSPVIG00000001439.1)". Lineage: Eukaryota; Metazoa; Chordata; Lepidosauria; Squamata; Agamidae. The record is from RNAcentral.